GAGCGGCGGACGGGUGAGUAACGCGUGGGUAACCUGCCUUAUACAGGGGGAUAACUAUUGGAAACGAUAGCUAAGACCGCAUAGGUAUAUGGAUCGCAUGAAACAUAUAUGAAAUAUCCUACGGGAUAGCAGAAGGAUGGACUUAUGACGCAUUAGCUAGUUGGUGAGGUAGAGGCUCACCAAGGCGACGAUGCGUAGCCGGCCUGAGAGGGUGGACGGCCACACUGGGACUGAGACACGGCCCAGACUCCUACGGGAGGCAGCAGUAGGGAAUUUUCGGCAAUGGGCGAAAGCCUGACCGAGCAACGCCGCGUGAGGGAGGAAGUACUUCGGUAUGUAAACCUCUGUUAUAAAGGAAGAACGGUACAUGGAGGGAAUGCCAUGUAAGUGACGGUACUUUAUGAGGAAGCCACGGCUAACUACGUGCCAGCAGCCGCGGUAAUACGUAGGUGGCGAGCGUUAUCCGGAAUCAUUGGGCGUAAAGAGGGAGCAGGCGGCAGUGCAGGUCUGCGGUGAAAGCCCGAAGCUAAACUUCGGUAAGCCGUGGAAACCGCACAGCUAGAGUGCAGUAGAGGAUCGUGGAAUUCCAUGUGUAGCGGUGAAAUGCUUAGAUAUCACGAAGAACUCCGAUUGCGAAGGCAGCCUGCUAAGCUGCAACUGACAUUGAGGCUCGAAAGUGUGGGUAUCAAACAGGAUUAGAUACCCUGGUAGUCCACACGGUAAACGAUGAAUACUCGCUGUUUGCGAUAUACAGCAAGCGGCCAAGCGAAAGCGUUAAGUAUUCCACCUGGGGAGUACGCCGGCAACGGUGAAACUCAAAGGAAUUGACGGGGGCCCGCAUAAGCGGAGGAACAUGUGGUUUAAUUCGAUGAUACGCGAGGAACCUUACCCGGGCUUAAAUUGCAGAUGAAUUACGGUGAAAGCCGUAAGCCGCAAGGCAUCUGUGAAGGUGCUGCAUGGUUGUCGUCAGCUCGUGCCGUGAGGUGUCGGCUUAAGUGCCAUAACGAGCGCAACCCUUGAUGUCAGUUACUAACAGGUUCUGCUGAGGACUCUGACAAGACUGCCAUCGUAAGAUGUGAGGAAGGUGGGGAUGACGUCAAAUCAGCACGGCCCUUACGUCCGGGGCUACACACGUGUUACAAUGGGGGGUACAGAGGGCCGCUACCACGCGAGUGGACGCCAAUCCCAAAAACCUCUCUCAGUUCGGACUGGAGUCUGCAACCCGACUCCACGAAGCUGGAUUCGCUAGUAAUCGCGCAUCAGCCACGGCGCGGUGAAUACGUUCCCGGGCCUUGCACACACCGCCCGUCAAG
This 1313-nucleotide ribosomal RNA is filed under the name uncultured bacterium. RNAcentral describes it as "bacterial SSU rRNA". It matches the Rfam family "Bacterial small subunit ribosomal RNA", at positions 93 to 1401 of the family's 1533-position model. The record is from RNAcentral.